GAUGAACGCUAGCGGGAGGCCUAACACAUGCAAGCCGAGCGGUAUUUGUUCUUCGGAACAGAGAGAGCGGCGUACGGGUGCGGAACACGUGUGCAACCUACCUUUAUCAGGGGGAUAGCCUUUCGAAAGGAAGAUUAAUACCCCAUAAUAUAUUGAUUGGCAUCAGUUAAUAUUGAAAACUCCGGUGGAUAGAGAUGGGCACGCGCAAGAUUAGAUAGUUGGUAGGGUAACGGCCUACCAAGUCAGUGAUCUUUAGGGGGCCUGAGAGGGUGAUCCCCCACACUGGUACUGAGACACGGACCAGACUCCUACGGGAGGCAGCAGUGAGGAAUAUUGGACAAUGGGUGAGAGCCUGAUCCAGCCAUCCCGCGUGAAGGACGACGGCCCUAUGGGUUGUAAACUUCUUUUGUAUAGGGAUAAACCUACUCUCGUGAGAGUAGCUGAAGGUACUAUACGAAUAAGCACCGGCUAACUCCGUGCCAGCAGCCGCGGUAAUACGGAGGGUGCAAGCGUUAUCCGGAUUUAUUGGGUUUAAAGGGUCCGUAGGCGGAUCUGUAAGUCAGUGGUGAAAUCUCAUAGCUUAACUAUGAAACUGCCAUUGAUACUGCAGGUCUUGAGUAAAGUAGAAGUGGCUGGAAUAAGUAGUGUAGCGGUGAAAUGCAUAGAUAUUACUUAGAACACCAAUUGCGAAGGCAGGUCACUAUGUUUUAACUGACGCUGAUGGACGAAAGCGUGGGGAGCGAACAGGAUUAGAUACCCUGGUAGUCCACGCCGUAAACGAUGCUAACUCGUUUUUGGGCUUUAGGGUUCAGAGACUAAGCGAAAGUGAUAAGUUAGCCACCUGGGGAGUACGUUCGCAAGAAUGAAACUCAAAGGAAUUGACGGGGGCCCGCACAAACGGUGGAUUAUGUGGUUUAAUUCGAUGAUACGCGAGGAACCUUACCAAGGCUUAAAUGGGAAUUGACAGGUUUAGAAAUAGACUUUUCUUCGGACAAUUUUCAAGGUGCUGCAUGGUUGUCGUCAGCUCGUGCCGUGAGGUGUUAGGUUAAGUCCUGCAACGAGCGCAACCCCUGUCACUAGUUGCCAUCAUUCAGUUGGGGACUCUAGUGAGACUGCCUACGCAAGUAGAGAGGAAGGUGGGGAUGACGUCAAAUCAUCACGGCCCUUACGCCUUGGGCCACACACGUAAUACAAUGGCCAGUACAGAGGGCAGCUACCAGGCGACUGGAUGCGAAUCUCGAAAGCUGGUCUCAGUUCGGAUUGGAGUCUGCAACUCGACUCUAUGAAGCUGGAAUCGCUAGUAAUCGCAUAUCAGCCAUGAUGCGGUGAAUACGUUCCCGGGCCU
RNAcentral lists this ribosomal RNA (1345 nucleotides) under uncultured bacterium. RNAcentral describes it as "bacterial SSU rRNA". It matches the Rfam family "Bacterial small subunit ribosomal RNA", at positions 28 to 1381 of the family's 1533-position model. The record is from RNAcentral.